GAGAGCCGUAACACAGGUGCUGCAUGGCUGUCGUCAGCUCGUGUCGUGAGAUGUUGGGUUAAGUCCCGCAACGAGCGCAACCCUUGUCAUUAGUUGCUACAUUCAGUUGGGCAACUCUAAUGAGACUGCCGGUGACAAGCCGGAGGAAGGUGGGGAUGACGUCAAGUCCCCGUGGCCCUUAUAGUGGGGCUACACACGUCAUACAAUGGCUGGUACAAAGGGUUGCCAACCCGCGAGGGGGAGCCAAUCCCAUAAAGCCAGUCGUAGUCCGGAUCGUAGUCUGCAACUCGACUACGUGAAGUCGGAAUCGCUAGUAAUCGUGGAUCAGAAUGUCCACGGUCGAAUACGUUCCCGGGUCCUU
RNAcentral lists this ribosomal RNA (361 nucleotides) under uncultured Rhodoferax sp. RNAcentral's name for it is "bacterial SSU rRNA". It matches the Rfam family "Bacterial small subunit ribosomal RNA", at positions 1022 to 1382 of the family's 1533-position model. The record is from RNAcentral. Lineage: Bacteria; Pseudomonadati; Pseudomonadota; Betaproteobacteria; Burkholderiales; Comamonadaceae.